Molecule: long non-coding RNA, 943 nt
Filed under: Zonotrichia albicollis (white-throated sparrow)
Lineage: Eukaryota; Metazoa; Chordata; Aves; Passeriformes; Passerellidae
Description: lncRNA (ENSZALG00000004213.1)
Source: RNAcentral
UACAGCCCUCAGGAGGAGCCUCCUUCCAACCCCAUUGCAGGGUCAACAUUUCCUUCAGGAGAAGCCUCAGGAGAAGCCUCAGGAGAAGCCUCAGGAGAAGCCUCAUUCCAUCUCCUUCAGGAGGAGCCUCCUUCCACCCCCAUCCCAAGGUCAAUAUCUCCUACAGCCCUGAUAAACACAGGAGUAUUUUCUAUUCCUUUCUUAUUCCAGAAGAUUCUGGCCUCCAGGAAGAUUCCCUGGCUUGUUUUAUACUCAGCAGUGGCUCCAACAUCCACAGUCAAUCUCUACAGCCCUCAGGAGAAGCCUCCUUCCAUGGCCUUCAGGAGGAGCCUCCUUCCAUCCCCAUCCCAAGGUCAAUAUCUCCCACAUCCCUGAUAAACACAGGAGUAUUUUCUAUUCCUUUCCUAUUCCAGAAGUUUCUGGCCUCCAGGAAGAUUCCCUGGCUUGUUUUAUCCUCAGCAGUGGCUCCAACAUCCACAGUCAAUCUCUACAGCCCUCAGGAGAACCCUCCUUCCAUCCCCAUUGCAGGGUCAACAUUUCCUUCAGGAGGAGCCUCCUUCCAUCCCCAUUCCAGGGUCAGCAUCUCCUACAUCCCUGAUAAACACAGGAGACUUUCGUAUUCCUUUCUUAUUCCAGAAAAUUCUGGCCUCCAGGAAGAUUCCCUGAUUUGUUUUAUCCUCAGCAGUGGCUCCAACAUCCACAUUCAAUCUCUACAGCCCUCAGGAGGAGCCUUCUUCUACCCCAUUCCAGCAUCAACAUCUCCUCAGGAGAAGCCUCAGGAGAAGCCUCCUUCCAUGGCCUUCAGGAGAAACCUCCUUCCAUCCCCAUUCCAGGGUCAAUAUCUCCUACAUCCCUGAUAAACACAGGAGUAUUUUCUAUUCCUUUCCUAUUCCAGAAGAUUCUGGACCCCAGGAAGAUUCCCUGGUUUGUUUUAUCCUCAGCA